GACGAACGCUGGCGGCGUGCUUAACACAUGCAAGUCGAGCGGAAAGGCCCUUUCGGGGGUACUCGAGCGGCGAACGGGUGAGUAACACGUGAGUAAUCUGCCCUUCACUUGGGGAUAACCUCCGGAAACGGUGGCUAAUACCCGAUACGACCAUUCCUCGCAUGAGGUGGUGGUGGAAAGUUUUUCGGUGGGGGAUGUGCUCGCGGCCUAUCAGCUUGUUGGUGGGGUAAUGGCCUACCAAGGCUUCGACGGGUAGCCGGCCUGAGAGGGUGACCGGCCACACUGGGACUGAGACACGGCCCAGACUCCUACGGGAGGCAGCAGUGGGGAAUAUUGGACAAUGGGCGGAAGCCUGAUCCAGCAACGCCGCGUGAGGGAUGACGGCCUUCGGGUUGUAAACCUCUUUCACCUGUGACGAAGCGAAAGUGACGGUAGCAGGAUAAGAAGCACCGGCCAACUACGUG
This 464-nucleotide ribosomal RNA is filed under the name uncultured bacterium. RNAcentral's name for it is "partial 16S ribosomal RNA". It matches the Rfam family "Bacterial small subunit ribosomal RNA", at positions 28 to 507 of the family's 1533-position model. The record is from RNAcentral.